UUUCCGUAGGUGAACCUGCGGAGGGAUCAUUACUGAGUGAGGGCUUCGGUCCGACCUCCAACCCUUUGUGAACCAAACUUGUUGCUUCGGGGGCGACCCUGCCGUUUGCGGCGUGGGGCCCCCGGAGGCCUUCAAACACUGCAUCUUUGCGUCGGAGUUUAAGUAAAUUAAACAAAACUUUCAACAACGGAUCUCUUGGUUCUGGCAUCGAUGAAGAACGCAGC
This 224-nucleotide unclassified non-coding RNA is filed under the name uncultured fungus. RNAcentral describes it as "sequence contains ITS1, 5.8S rRNA gene". The stretch from base 176 to 224 matches the Rfam family "5.8S ribosomal RNA", at positions 1 to 49 of the family's 154-position model. The record is from RNAcentral. Lineage: Eukaryota; Fungi.